AUGGCGGCAGCUCGGGAGGCGUCGAGGGCAGCUUCCCCCGUCGCUGCGGCCGCCGGAGUUCUCCUGGUCCUCGCCGUCCUCCUCACAGAGCAUGUGAUUGUGGCGAAUGCCCUGUCCAUCGGCGUCAACUACGGGCAGAUCGCCAACAACCUCCCUGCGCCGGGGCGGGUGUCGACGCUGCUCCGGUCGAUCAAGAUCAGCAAGGUGAAGCUCUACGACGCCGACCCGCACGUCCUGCGCGCGUUCCUCGGCACGGGCGUCGAGUUCGUGAUCGGCAUCGGCAACGAGCACGUCCCGGCAAUGGUCAGCUCCACGGUGGCGCAGGCGUGGCUCCAGCAGCACGUGGUGCCGCACCUCCACGCCGGGGCGCGCAUCACCUGCAUUACCGUGGGCAACGAGGCGUUCAAGGGCAACGACACCGUCCUGCAGGCCAGCCUCCUGCCCGCCAUGCACUCCGUGCACCAGGCGCUCGGGGCGCUCGGCCUGCAGGGCCGCGUGAACGUCACCACCGCGCAUUCGCUGGACAUCAUGGGCGUCUCCUACCCGCCCUCCGCCGGCACGUUCGCUCCGGGCGCCGUGUCGCACCUGCAGCCGUUCCUCAAGUUCCUGUCGGCGACGAGGGCCCCGUUCCUCAUCAACUGCUACCCGUUCUUCGCCUACAAGGACGACCCGGCGCGCGUGCCGCUGGACUACGUGCUCUUCCAGCCCAACGCCGGCGUCACCGACCCCAACACGGGGCUCAACUACGACAACAUGCUGUACGCGCAGGUGGACGCCGUCUACUCGGCCAUCAAGGCGCUGGGGCACACGGACGUGGACGUCAAGGUCUCCGAGACCGGGUGGCCGUCCCGGGGCGACCCCGACGAGAUCGGCGCCACGCCGCAGCACGCCGGGACGUACAUCGGGAACCUGCUGAGGAGGAUAGAGAUGAAGCAGGGUACGCCGCUGCGGCCGGCGGUGCCCAUCGACGUCUACGUGUUCGCGCUCUUCAACGAGAACCUCAAGCCCGGCCCGGCGUCGGAGCGCAACUACGGGCUGUUCUACCCCGACGGCACGCCGGUCUACAACGUCGGCCUCCGCGGCUACCUGCCGCCCAUGGCGGAUUCACACGGAGCACGGCAGGUACGGCUUCUUGAUUCGCUUGCUCGAUCAGCGCAUGCAUAUGCAUUUACAUAG
This 1176-nucleotide ribosomal RNA is filed under the name Triticum aestivum (bread wheat). RNAcentral describes it as "partial small subunit ribosomal RNA". The record is from RNAcentral. Lineage: Eukaryota; Viridiplantae; Streptophyta; Magnoliopsida; Poales; Poaceae.